UCACCCCUGCUGUGUUCGUGAUGCGACACAUGUUUUGAGCCAACAUGUGUAAAGAGGGGACCGUUCUCCUAUCGGGGCAGUAGUAGCCCUCGGGCGAGGCCUAACCGAUAGGGCCAGGUCACCCACCUGCGCAAGCAGGUUCAAAACACGCGCACACGGCAUAGCGGGGGUUAA
RNAcentral lists this non-coding RNA (174 nucleotides) under Planctomycetales bacterium. Its description in RNAcentral is "6S RNA". It matches the Rfam family "6S / SsrS RNA". Rfam says of the family: E. coli 6S RNA was the first non coding RNA to be sequenced, but its function was unknown until recently. It consists of 184 nucleotides that fold into an extended hairpin structure with a large single-stranded internal bulge. The 6S RNA specifically associates with RNA polymerase holoenzyme containing the sigma70 specificity factor. The record is from RNAcentral. Lineage: Bacteria; Pseudomonadati; Planctomycetota; Planctomycetia; Planctomycetales.